GACGAACGCUGGCGGCGUGCUUAACACAUGCAAGUCGAACGGAAAGGCCUGCUUUCCCUUGUGGAUUGCGGGUACUCGAGUGGCGAACGGGUGAGUAACACGUGAGUGAUCUGCUGCCAACUUGGGUAUAAGCCUGGGAAACUGGGUCUAAUUACCGAUAGGACUGCAGGGUGGUGUCUGUGGUUGAAGACGAUGUUGUAGUGGUCGGGGAUGAGCUGGUGGCGUAUGAGCUUGUGGGUGGGGUAGUGGUCUACGAGGGGGGGGACGGGUAGCCGGCCUGGGAUGGUGGACGGGCACAUGGGGACGGCGAUACGGCCAAGACUCCUACGGGAGGCAGCAGUGGGGAAGAAGGCGCAAGGAGCGUAACCCUGAGGCAGCGACGCCGCGGGGGGAAUGACGGCCUUCGGGUGGUAAACUCCUGGCGACCGCGAGGAAGCCACCGGGUUGGAAGGUGAGUGACGGUAGUGGGAGAAGAAGCACCGGCUAACUACGUG
RNAcentral lists this ribosomal RNA (494 nucleotides) under uncultured bacterium. Its description in RNAcentral is "partial 16S ribosomal RNA". It matches the Rfam family "Bacterial small subunit ribosomal RNA", at positions 28 to 507 of the family's 1533-position model. The record is from RNAcentral.